This 274-nucleotide ribosomal RNA is filed under the name uncultured bacterium. RNAcentral's name for it is "partial 16S ribosomal RNA". It matches the Rfam family "Bacterial small subunit ribosomal RNA", at positions 523 to 796 of the family's 1533-position model. The record is from RNAcentral.
AUACAGAGGGUGCGAGCGUUAUUCGGAAUUACUGGGCGUAAAGCGCGCGUAGGCGGAUAGGCAAGUCGGUUGUGAAAGCCCCGGGCUCAACCUGGGAACUGCAUCCGAGACUGCCUGUCUAGAGUACGGUAGAGGGUAGCGGAAUUCCUAGUGUAGCGGUGAAAUGCGUAGAUAUUAGGAGGAACACCAGUGGCGAAGGCGGCUACCUGGACCGAUGCUGACGCUCAGGCACGAAAGCGUGGGGAGCAAACAGGAUUAGAUACCCUAGUAGUCC